RNAcentral lists this ribosomal RNA (209 nucleotides) under uncultured bacterium. RNAcentral's name for it is "partial 16S ribosomal RNA". It matches the Rfam family "Bacterial small subunit ribosomal RNA", at positions 28 to 247 of the family's 1533-position model. The record is from RNAcentral.
GACGAACGCUAGCGGCGUGCCUAAGGUAUGCAAGUCGAACGGUAGGGGCAACCCUACAGUGGCGAACGGUCGAGUAACACGUAGACAACCUGCCUCCAAGUGGGGGAUAACCAUUCGAAAGGGUGGCUAAUACCGCAUGUGGUUCUGUAGUGCAUGCUGCAGAUACUAAAGGUUUACUGCUUGGAGAUGGGUCUGCGGCCUAUCAGCUA